Molecule: ribosomal RNA, 433 nt
Filed under: uncultured bacterium
Lineage: Bacteria
Description: partial 16S ribosomal RNA
Rfam family: Bacterial small subunit ribosomal RNA
Source: RNAcentral
AACGAACGCUGGCGGCAUGCCUAACACAUGCAAGUCGAACGAGACCUUCGGGUCUAGUGGCGCACGGGUGCGUAACGCGUGGGAACCUGCCCUUAGGUUCGGAAUAACUCCCCGAAAGGGGUGCUAAUACCGGAUAAUGUCUUCGGACCAAAGAUUUAUCGCCUUUGGAUGGGCCCGCGUUGGAUUAGCUAGUUGGUAGGGUAAAAGCCUACCAAGGCGACGAUCCAUAGCUGGUCUGAGAGGAUGAUCAGCCACACUGGGACUGAGACACGGCCCAGACUCCUACGGGAGGCAGCAGUGGGGAAUAUUGGACAAUGGGCGAAAGCCUGAUCCAGCAAUGCUGCGUGAGUGAUGAAGGCCUUAGGGUUGUAAAGCUCUUUUAACCGGGAUGAUAAUGACAGUACCGGGAGAAUAAGCUCCGGCUAACUCCGUG